GGGUUGUUACUGAAAAAAAAUGGCAGUUUUUAUAUUCUCCGAUCAAGUUUUGGCCUCCAUGCAACAUCCUAUAUUGUUUCCUGCAUGGUUUGCCUCCUCAGUCAUAGUCCACAGACUCUGAGAAGUCGUAGGAAUAUGCAGGUGCAGACACAAAGCCCAGCUUCAUCUCCAACGUUGUGGAAAGGGACUGUACAUCAUGGGGCAGAGCCCUGUGCUCCCCUAUGCCACCUGGACAGAGCCCGGGGAGAGUGACCUCCCGGGUUAUCCACGUUGGAAGAGAUUGCAACUGUUUUCCCCCAGAAAACUGUAAAACUUUAUUGAUAAUUUUAGCAAUCAAGGUUGUAAUAUCAAGACUGCA
Marmota flaviventris (yellow-bellied marmot) is the source of this 358-nucleotide long non-coding RNA. RefSeq lists it as uncharacterized. The record is from RefSeq and is a predicted model, not a curated record. Lineage: Eukaryota; Metazoa; Chordata; Mammalia; Rodentia; Sciuridae.